RNAcentral lists this ribosomal RNA (200 nucleotides) under uncultured bacterium. Its description in RNAcentral is "partial 16S ribosomal RNA". It matches the Rfam family "Bacterial small subunit ribosomal RNA", at positions 8 to 219 of the family's 1533-position model. The record is from RNAcentral.
AGAGUUUGAUCCUGGCUCAGGACGAACGCUGGCGGCGUGCUUAACACAUGCAAGUCGAACGAGUGCCUUCGGGUGCUAGUGGCGAACGGGUGAGUAACACGUGAGCAACCUGCCCCUGGCUCUGGGAUAGCCUCCGGAAACGGUGAUUAAUACCGGACAUGACUGCUGCCUGCAUGGGCGGCGGUGGAAAGUUUUUCGGC